UACAGAGGGGGCAAGCGUUAUUCGGAAUCACUGGGCGUAAAGGGUGCGCAGGCGGUUUUGUAAGUCAGAUGUGAAAUCCCCGGGCUUAACCUGGGAACUGCGUUUGAAACUACAAGGCUAGAGUGUGGCAGAGGGGGGUGGAAUUCCACGUGUAGCAGUGAAAUGCGUAGAGAUGUGGAGGAACACCGAUGGCGAAGGCAGCCCCCUGGGUUAACACUGACGCUCAGGCACGAAAGCGUGGGGAGCAAACAGG
RNAcentral lists this ribosomal RNA (253 nucleotides) under uncultured bacterium. Its description in RNAcentral is "partial 16S ribosomal RNA". It matches the Rfam family "Bacterial small subunit ribosomal RNA", at positions 524 to 776 of the family's 1533-position model. The record is from RNAcentral.